CCUACGGGAGGCAGCAGUGAGGAAUAUUGGUCAAUGGACGAGAGUCUGAACCAGCCAAGUAGCGUGAAGGAUGACUGCCCUAUGGGUUGUAAACUUCUUUUAUAAAGGAAUAAAACGAGGCACGUGUGCCUUUUUGCAUGUACUUUAUGAAUAAGGAUCGGCUAACUCCGUGCCAGCAGCCGCGGUAAUACGGAGGAUCCGAGCGUUAUCCGGAUUUAUUGGGUGUAAAGGGAGCGUAGAUGGGUUGUUAAGUCAGUUGUGAAAGUUUGUGGCUCAACCGUAAAAUUGCAAUUGAUACUGGUAGUCUUGAGUACAGUUGAGGUAGGCGGAAUUCGUGGUGUAGCGGUGAAAUGCUUAGAUAGCACGAAGAACCCCGAUUGCGAAGGCAGCUUACUAAACUGUGACUGACAUUGAUGCUCGAAAGUGUGGGUAUCAAACAGGAUUAGAUACCCCAGUAGUC
This 460-nucleotide ribosomal RNA is filed under the name uncultured bacterium. RNAcentral describes it as "partial 16S ribosomal RNA". It matches the Rfam family "Bacterial small subunit ribosomal RNA", at positions 338 to 795 of the family's 1533-position model. The record is from RNAcentral.